GAUGAACGCUGGCGGCGUGCCUAAUACAUGCAAGUCGAGCGAACAGACGAGGAGCUUGCUCCUCUGACGUUAGCGGCGGACGGGUGAGUAACACGUGGAUAACCUACCUAUAAGACUGGGAUAACUUCGGGAAACCGGAGCUAAUACCGGAUAAUAUAUUGAACCGCAUGGUUCAAUAGUGAAAGACGGUUUUGCUGUCACUUAUAGUUGGAUCCGCGCCGCAUUAGCUAGUUGGUAAGGUAACGGCUUACCAAGGCAACGAUGCGUAGCCGACCUGAGAGGGUGAUCGGCCACACUGGAACUGAGACACGGUCCAGACUCCUACGGGAGGCAGCAGUAGGGAAUCUUCCGCAAUGGGCGAAAGCCUGACGGAGCAACGCCGCGUGAGUGAUGAAGGUCUUCGGAUCGUAAAACUCUGUUAGUAGGGAAGAACAAAUGUGUAAGUAACUAUGCACGUCUUGACGGUACCUAAUCAGAAAGCCACGGCUAACUACGUG
Molecule: ribosomal RNA, 497 nt
Filed under: uncultured bacterium
Lineage: Bacteria
Description: partial 16S ribosomal RNA
Rfam family: Bacterial small subunit ribosomal RNA
Source: RNAcentral